Molecule: ribosomal RNA, 253 nt
Filed under: uncultured bacterium
Lineage: Bacteria
Description: partial 16S ribosomal RNA
Rfam family: Bacterial small subunit ribosomal RNA
Source: RNAcentral
UACGAAGGGGGCUAGCGUUGUUCGGAAUCACUGGGCGUAAAGGGCGCGUAGGCGGCUUGAUAAGUCGGGGGUGAAAGCCUGUGGCUCAACCACAGAAUUGCCUUCGAUACUGUCUGGCUUGAGACCGGAAGAGGUAAGUGGAACUGCGAGUGUAGAGGUGAAAUUCGUAGAUAUUCGCAAGAACACCAGUGGCGAAGGCGGCUCACUGGCCCGGUACUGACGCUGAGGUGCGAAAGCGUGGGGAGCAAACAGG